CCUACGGGGCGCAGCAGUGGGGAAUAUUGCACAAUGGGCGAAAGCCUGAUGCAGCAACGCCGCGUGAAGGAAGACGGUUUUCGGAUUGUAAACUUCUAUCAAUAGGGAAGAAAGAAAUGACGGUACCUAAAUAAGAAGCCCCGGUUAACUACGUGCCAGCAGCCGCGGUAAUACGUAGGGAGCAAGCGUUAUCCGGAUUUACUGGGUGUAAAGGGCGUGUAGGCGGGCCUGCAAGUCAGAAGUGAAAUCUGGGGGCUUAACCCCUAAACUGCUUUUGAAACUGUGGGUCUUGAGUGAUGGAGAGG
RNAcentral lists this ribosomal RNA (305 nucleotides) under uncultured bacterium. Its description in RNAcentral is "bacterial SSU rRNA". It matches the Rfam family "Bacterial small subunit ribosomal RNA", at positions 338 to 657 of the family's 1533-position model. The record is from RNAcentral.